CCAAUAGCGUAUAUUAAAGUUGUUGCAGUUAAAAAGCUCGUAGUUGAAUUUUGGAUUCUACCAAUUGGUCCAUCUUUUAGAUGAGUACUGGUUGUGUGGGGUCUAUCCGCCUGGUGAUACGUAAUGUCCUUUAUUGGAUGUUGCGGGUAGUCAGGACCUUUACCUUGAAAAAAUUAGAGUGUUUAAAGCAGGCUUAUGCCGGAAUACAUUAGCAUGGAAUAAUAGAAUAGGACGAAGUUGUUUUAUUUUGUUGGUUUCUAGGACAACCGUAAUGAUUAAUAGGGAUAGUUGGGGGCAUUAGUAUUCAAUUGUCAGAGGUGAAAUUCUUGGAUUUAUUGAAGACUAACUACUGCGAAAGCAUUUGCCAAGGAUGUUUUCAUUAAUCAAGAACGAAAGUUAGGGGAUCGAAGACGAUCAGAUACCGUCGUAGUCUUAACCAUAAACUAUGCCGACUAGGGAUCGGGCGAUGUUGUUUCCAUGACUCGCUCGGCACCUUAUG
This 499-nucleotide ribosomal RNA is filed under the name uncultured Glomeromycotina. RNAcentral's name for it is "partial small subunit ribosomal RNA". It matches the Rfam family "Eukaryotic small subunit ribosomal RNA", at positions 591 to 1092 of the family's 1831-position model. Lineage: Eukaryota; Fungi; Glomeromycota. The record is from RNAcentral.